Molecule: ribosomal RNA, 253 nt
Filed under: uncultured bacterium
Lineage: Bacteria
Description: partial 16S ribosomal RNA
Rfam family: Bacterial small subunit ribosomal RNA
Source: RNAcentral
UACGAAGGGGGCUAGCGUUGCUCGGAAUCACUGGGCGUAAAGCGCGCGUAGGCGGAUCGUUAAGUCGGGGGUGAAAUCCUGGAGCUCAACUCCAGAACUGCCUUUGAUACUGGCGAUCUUGAGUCCGGGAGAGGUGAGUGGAACUCCGAGUGUAGAGGUGAAAUUCGUAGAUAUUCGGAAGAACACCAGUGGCGAAGGCGACUUACUGGACACAUAUUGACGCUGAGGCGCGACAGCGUGGGGAGCAAACAGG